GAUGAACGUUGGCGGCGUGCCUAACACAUGCAAGUCGAACGCUAGUAGCAAUAUUAGAGUGGCGCACGGGUGAGUAACACGUAGCUUACCCACCUCCCAGCGCGGGAUAACGGUUCGAAAGAACUGCUAAUACCGCAUAAGCUCACGGCCUGUAGAGGGCUGCGAGAAAAGGCGCAAGUCACUGGGAGACGGGGCUGCGGCCCAUCAGCUCGUUGGUGAGGAACGGCUUACCAAGGCGACGACGGGUA
RNAcentral lists this ribosomal RNA (248 nucleotides) under uncultured bacterium. RNAcentral describes it as "partial 16S ribosomal RNA". It matches the Rfam family "Bacterial small subunit ribosomal RNA", at positions 28 to 285 of the family's 1533-position model. The record is from RNAcentral.